Molecule: ribosomal RNA, 253 nt
Filed under: uncultured bacterium
Lineage: Bacteria
Description: partial 16S ribosomal RNA
Rfam family: Bacterial small subunit ribosomal RNA
Source: RNAcentral
UACGGGGGGGGCAAGCGUUGUUCGGAAUUACUGGGCGUAAAGGGCUCGUAGGUGGCCAACUAAGUCAGACGUGAAAUCCCCAGGCUUAACCUGGGAACUGCGUCUGAUACUGGAUGGCUUGAAUUCGGGAGAGGGAUGCAGAAUUCCAGGUGUAGCGGUGAAAUGCGUAGAUAUCUGGAGGAAUACCGGUGGCGAAGGCGGCAUCCUGGACCGAGAUUGACACUGAUGAGCGAAAGCUAGGGGAGCGAACGGG